Molecule: ribosomal RNA, 427 nt
Filed under: uncultured bacterium
Lineage: Bacteria
Description: partial 16S ribosomal RNA
Rfam family: Bacterial small subunit ribosomal RNA
Source: RNAcentral
UGGGGAAUAUUGGACAAUGGGCGAAAGCCUGAUCCAGCCAUGCCGCGUGUGUGAAGAAGGUCUUCGGAUUGUAAAGCACUUUAAGUUGGGAGGAAGGGUUGUAGAUUAAUACUCUGCAAUUUUGACGUUACCGACAGAAUAAGCACCGGCUAACUCUGUGCCAGCAGCCGCGGUAAUACAGAGGGUGCAAGAGUUAAUCGGAAUUACUGGGCGUAAAGCGCGCGUAGGUGGUUAGUUAAGUUGGAUGUGAAAUCCCCGGGCUCAACCUGGGAACAGCAUUCAAAACUGACUGACUAGAGUAUGGUAGAGGGUGGUGGAAUUUCCUGUGUAGCGGUGAAAUGCGUAGAUAUAGGAAGGAACACCAGUGGCGAAGGCGACCACCUGGACUGAUACUGACACUGAGGUGCGAAAGCGUGGGGAGCAAACA